This is a long non-coding RNA of Mus caroli (Ryukyu mouse), 1267 nucleotides long. RefSeq lists it as uncharacterized. The record is from RefSeq and is a predicted model, not a curated record. NCBI's taxonomy places the organism in Eukaryota, Metazoa, Chordata, Mammalia, Rodentia, Muridae.
CCCAAGUUCCACUCCCCGUCCCGCCAGUCUUCAAUUUAAGGCUGCCGAGAAGCUCCGGUCUUGUUGCAGGAGGAUAAGGAGACAUAAUGAGGCCUGAGAUAUGUCUCUGAGGAGCUCUCCAAGACCUAAGUAUGAAGGGAACCAAGAAAAGUUAAGAAGGAAUGAAUGCCUGACAUGUGUAGUCCCAGCACUCAGAGUCAGAAGCAGAUGGAUCUCUGAGUUUGAGGCCAGCCUGGACUAAAUGGAGAAUGCCUGGAAGAGUAUUUUGAUCCAUAGUUGAUUGAAUCAUUAGGCACAAGCUAUUUUGGAUGACUGCUCUCCAGAGAUCCAUGUAUUAAAAGUGGGAAGUAGUAAAGACCUUGAGAAGUAUGACAUCGUUGGCGGAUGUGAGGUGAAUGUUUUCCUCUGUCAUGUUCACCUGCCAGAGGCCCAAACUCACAGAGCUACCUGACCGUGGUCUGCAGCCUUCCAGGACUGUGAGCCAAAGAGGCGUGCCAGAGAACUGCUGGCAUCCUGGCUGGUCCUGGUUACUGGAGCUAACUAGUGCAGAUUCAGCGGAGGCCUGGCUGUUUCUGCUGGAUCACGCAGCUACUGCUGCUGAUUUGUGUUUGCUGUCUUGACACUACUGACCAGGAUUGCCGGUAUCCUGAUGACAGAGAUUGGGAUCGAUUCAAGGAACUACUUCUAAACAGGUCCCCAUCCCUUGUCCUAUUUCCCAUCUUUUCUCCCCUCCCUUUAGAUGGUGGGCUAGAAGGAGGUUUGAAGAAGUUGAGAACCCUUCUUAAAAGUAGGUUUAAAAAAAAUCUAAGCCUACAGAGUAUACCUCAUUAAAAUUUGGAAUCAAGAUAUUGGGUGGGUCACUAGAGGCCAGGGUUUUGAAAUCAUUCCAGGCAGCAUAGUGAGAUCCUGCAAUCAGAAAACAAAUAAAGCAAAAAUGACUGUAACCUUGCACUUAAUAUACAUGGACCUGUUUAAAAGCCAUCUUUGAGCAAAGGGGAUAGCCCAGGGAUAGAGUUCUUGCCUAUCACACUUGAGCCCUGGAUCCAGUCUCUAACAUCAUGAAAAUUAAAACAUACAACAAAAGCCAUCUUCUAUAUUCCCCUUAUCUUCAAGGAAAAGAAUAAUAGCUAACGAAACAAACUCUCAUAAAAAAAAAAAUUCUCCUUAUCCAAACCACUUCUCUAACAGACUGUGAACACACUUUUUUGUAGUUGUUGAUGAUGAUGAUGGUGUCUGGUGACAAUGGGAUGUUUUUGUUGUUGUUUGA